UCCUGGCUGUAAACGAUGGGCACUAGGUGCUGGGAGAUUCGACCCUUUCAGUGCCGCAGCUAACGCAUUAAGUGCCCCGCCUGGGGAGUACGACCGCAAGGUUAAAACUCAAAGGAAUUGACGGGUCCCCGCACAAGCGGUGGAGCAUGUGGUUUAAUUCGAUGCAACGCGAAGAACCUUACCUGGACUUGACAUCCCGCUGAAAGCUCUUGGAAACAGGAGCCUUCCUUCGGGACAGCGGAGACAGGUGGUGCAUGGCUGUCGUCAGCUCGUGCCGUGAGGUGUUGGAUUAAGUUCCGCAACGAGCGCAACCCUCGCCGUUAGUUGCCAGCAUUUAGUUGGGCACUCUAGCGGGACUGCCGGCGUCAAGCC
This 372-nucleotide ribosomal RNA is filed under the name uncultured bacterium. Its description in RNAcentral is "bacterial SSU rRNA". It matches the Rfam family "Bacterial small subunit ribosomal RNA", at positions 794 to 1164 of the family's 1533-position model. The record is from RNAcentral.